RNAcentral lists this long non-coding RNA (340 nucleotides) under Vigna radiata. Its description in RNAcentral is "long non-coding RNA (VRAD_LNC014483)". Lineage: Eukaryota; Viridiplantae; Streptophyta; Magnoliopsida; Fabales; Fabaceae. The record is from RNAcentral.
UACCUUGCUUGUACUGGAAUUGAUUUCCCAUGUAGUUGACUUCAUGCUGCAUUUCUUCAAGGAAAUCACAUUGACCAUUAAUAUGGUCACCACCACAUAGAUCACAAAGUUGUUUAGUUUGAGAGAUAUUCCUUAUUCCCUUUGGAAGUUCACAAAAGACCUUUGUUAAUUUCUCUAGUUUUUUAGUAAGGAGAUGAUUCUGCGCAGCCAUUGCAUCAUCAGCAGGGAGAUGCAAAAGUCCUCCUUUCUGUAUGCCCCUUUCACUUUGCGUCACUUCAUUCAUAGCCAUUUCCUCAAUCAAUUCGUAGGCCUCAUCUUCAGUCUUUCUAUUUAUACUGCC